GCGGCAGGCCUAACACAUGCAAGUCGAGGGGUAACAGAUAGAAAGCUUGCUUUCUAUGCUGACGACCGGCGCACGGGUGAGUAACGCGUAUGCAACCUACCUUUAACAUGAGGAUAGCCCCGAGAAAUCGGGAUUAAUACUCUAUAACAUUUUGAUAUCGCAUGGUAUUAAGAUUAAAGCUUCGGCGGUUAAAGAUGGGCAUGCGUGACAUUAGUUUGUUGGUGAGGUAACGGCUCACCAAGACAUCGAUGUCUAGGGGUUCUGAGAGGAUUGUCCCCCACACUGGUACUGAGACACGGACCAGACUCCUACGGGAGGCAGCAGUGAGGAAUAUUGGUCAAUGGUCGAAAGACUGAACCAGCCAUGCCGCGUGCAGGAUGAAUGCGCUAUGCGUUGUAAACUGCUUUUCUACAGGAAGAAACCUACCCUCGUGAGGGUAGUUGCCGGUACUGUAGGAAUAAGCACCGGCUAACUCCGUGCCAGCAGCCGCGGUAAUACGGAGGGUGCGAGCGUUAUCCGGAUUUAUUGGGUUUAAAGGGUGCGUAGGCGGAAUAUUAAGUCAGUGGUGAAAUCCUGCGGCUCAACCGUAGAACUGCCAUUGAUACUGAUAUUCUUGAAUGUAGUUGAGGUAGGCGGAAUGUGUAAUGUAGCGGUGAAAUGCUUAGAUAUUACACAGAACACCGAUUGCGAAGGCAGCUUGCUAAACUAUGAUUGACGCUGAUGCACGAAAGCGUGGGGAGCGAACAGGAUUAGAUACCCUGGUAGUCCACGCUGUAAACGAUGAUCACUCGUUGUUUGCG
This 800-nucleotide ribosomal RNA is filed under the name uncultured bacterium. RNAcentral's name for it is "bacterial SSU rRNA". It matches the Rfam family "Bacterial small subunit ribosomal RNA", at positions 39 to 828 of the family's 1533-position model. The record is from RNAcentral.